This 140-nucleotide long non-coding RNA is filed under the name Betta splendens (Siamese fighting fish). Its description in RNAcentral is "lncRNA (ENSBSLG00000010493.1)". The record is from RNAcentral. Lineage: Eukaryota; Metazoa; Chordata; Actinopteri; Anabantiformes; Osphronemidae.
AAAACAGAAAUGCUGAACCUAAAAAGUGAAGAUGUUAACGCUGGUGGUUUAUUAAACCAAGGAGACACUUGUUACCUGAACAAUGUGAAGCAGGAGCUGUUCCAAGGCUUCAGAGAAGCUGUGGAGAGGUCUGUUCCACA